GCAGUCGAACGGUAACAUUGGUGCUUGCACCGGAUGACGAGUGGCGCACGGGUGCGUAACGCGUAUGCAAUCUACCUUUUACUGAAGAAUAGCCCAGAGAAAUUUGGAAUAAUCCUUCAUAAUAUCAUUUAUCAGCAUUGAUUUAUGAUUAAAGCUCCGGCGGUAAAAGAUGAGCAUGCGUCCUAUUAGUUUGUUGGUGAGGUAACGGCUCACCAAGACUACGAUAGGUAGGGGCCCUGAGAGGGGGAUCCCCCACACUGGUACUGAGACACGGACCAGACUCCUACGGGAGGCAGCAGUGAGGAAUAUUGGACAAUGGAGGCAACUCUGAUCCAGCCAUGCCGCGUGCAGGAAGACGGCCCUACGGGUUGUAAACUGCUUUUAUACAGGAAGAAACGCCGCUACGUGUAGCGGUUUGACGGUACUGUACGAAUAAGGAUCGGCUAACUCCGUGCCAGCAGUCGCGGUAAUACGGAGGAUCCAAGCGUUAUCCGGAAUCAUUGGGUUUAAAGGGUCCGUAGGCGGUUUUUUAAGUCAGAGGUGAAAUCCUGCAGCUCAACUGUAGCAUUGCCUUUGAUACUGAAAGACUUGAGUUAUUGUGAAGUAGUUAGAAUGUGUAGUGUAGCGGUGAAAUGCAUAGAUAUUACACAGAAUACCGAUUGCGAAGGCAGAUUACUAACAAUAUACUGACGCUGAGGGACGAAAGCGUGGGUAGCGAACAGGAUUAGAUACCCUGGUAGUCCACGCCGUAAACGAUGGAUACUAGCUGUUCGACCAACAUUGGUUGGUUGAGUGGCUAAGCGAAAGUGAUAAGUAUCCCACCUGGGGGAGUACGCUCG
RNAcentral lists this ribosomal RNA (839 nucleotides) under uncultured marine bacterium. Its description in RNAcentral is "bacterial SSU rRNA". It matches the Rfam family "Bacterial small subunit ribosomal RNA", at positions 57 to 888 of the family's 1533-position model. The record is from RNAcentral.